This 465-nucleotide ribosomal RNA is filed under the name Vreelandella stevensii. RNAcentral describes it as "partial 16S ribosomal RNA". It matches the Rfam family "Bacterial small subunit ribosomal RNA", at positions 338 to 795 of the family's 1533-position model. Lineage: Bacteria; Pseudomonadati; Pseudomonadota; Gammaproteobacteria; Oceanospirillales; Halomonadaceae. The record is from RNAcentral.
CCUACGGGCGGCAGCAGUGGGGAAUAUUGGACAAUGGGCGAAAGCCUGAUCCAGCCAUGCCGCGUGUGUGAAGAAGGCCUUCGGGUUGUAAAGCACUUUCAGUGGGGAAGAAAGCCUUGGGGCUAAUACCCUCGAGGAAGGACAUCACCUACAGAAGAAGCACCGGCUAACUCCGUGCCAGCAGCCGCGGUAAUACGGAGGGUGCGAGCGUUAAUCGGAAUUACUGGGCGUAAAGCGCGCGUAGGCGGUCUGAUAAGCCGGUUGUGAAAGCCCCGGGCUCAACCUGGGAACGGCAUCCGGAACUGUCAGGCUAGAGUGCAGGAGAGGAAGGUAGAAUUCCCGGUGUAGCGGUGAAAUGCGUAGAGAUCGGGAGGAAUACCAGUGGCGAAGGCGGCCUUCUGGACUGACACUGACGCUGAGGUGCGAAAGCGUGGGUAGCAAACAGGAUUAGAUACCCUUGUAGUC